Molecule: non-coding RNA, 721 nt
Organism: Meleagris gallopavo (turkey)
Lineage: Eukaryota; Metazoa; Chordata; Aves; Galliformes; Phasianidae
Source: RefSeq, a predicted model, not a curated record
CGAAAACCUGCAAGAAAGUAGGUAGUGAAGCUUAGCAGUACUUAUCUUUUCAUCCACCCCAUUAAGUCCAGCUGCAGACAUCAGUCUUAGCUUCCCCCUUUGUGACUUAAGCAAAUGCAGGAUAAUUUCCAAUUGAAGCAAGCUGAUGGUUCUGUAUAAAUUAACACAUACAGGUGAUAGUAGCUUUGGGUACAGAUCUGAUUACAAUCUAAGUCAAGGCUGCCUAAAAGAAGCCAACAGAAGAUCUCUUGCUGGAUGUGGGCCAGGUGCUACUUCAAAUCUCACACAGGAUAGAAGUUGGCCUUAAAAGUGGUUUGCUGAAGAACAGACUGGAUCCUGGACUCAAUAGCUUGCAGAAUAAAGAGGCGGCAGCAAUCCUUGGCUCUCCAUCAGAAAGCUGAGAUCUGUGCCUUUGCUGCGGACAAAUGAGAUAUUAGGGAUGGUACAUCGCACAAAAGAAUUUAAAGCACAAACACAAGGAGCGUUGUCUCCUGCCCUCCUCACACGGGCAUUGCCAGCAGAGCCGAUACAUCCUUGGGCAAAAAGAGCGCCGGCCCGGGCCCGCUCAGGGCUCCAGCUCCGAAUUAUGUAAUACCGACUCCAGGUUUCCACCAAGAAAACAAACUCCGGCCUUCCCUGUUGCAAAACCAGCAGAGCUGGAAACGUAGUAAACCUCUCUCCCUGGAGUGACUGAGUCAGCGCGCACCGCACCUUCACGGAG